GGCAGUGUGGCUCAGUGGUAGAGCACUUGGCUGGCAUGCACAGUACUUGGGUUUGACCCCCAGCAUUGCCC
RNAcentral lists this transfer RNA (71 nucleotides) under Cavia porcellus (domestic guinea pig). It matches the Rfam family "tRNA". Rfam says of the family: Transfer RNA (tRNA) molecules are approximately 80 nucleotides in length. Their secondary structure includes four short double-helical elements and three loops (D, anti-codon, and T loops). The record is from Rfam by way of RNAcentral. Lineage: Eukaryota; Metazoa; Chordata; Mammalia; Rodentia; Caviidae.